Molecule: ribosomal RNA, 598 nt
Filed under: uncultured archaeon
Lineage: Archaea
Description: bacterial SSU rRNA
Rfam family: Archaeal small subunit ribosomal RNA
Source: RNAcentral
GCUGUGGGAGCAGGAGCCCGGAGAUGGACCCUGAGACAAGGGUCCAGGCCCUACGGGGCGCAGCAGGCGCGAAACCUCCGCAAUGCGGGAAACCGCGGCGGGGUUAGCCGGAGUGCCCGUGCAUUGCACGGGCUGUCGGGGUGCCUAAACAGCACCCCAUAGCAAGGGCCGGGCAAGGCCGGUGGCAGCCGCCGCGGUAAGACCGGCGGCCCGAGUGGCGGCCACUCUUAUUGGGCCUAAAGCGUCCGUAGCCGGCCCAGUAAGUCCCCCGGGAAAUCUGGUCGCUUAACGAUCAGACUUCCGGGGGAUACUGCUGGGCUAGGGACCGGGAGAGGCCGAGGGUAUUCCCGGGGUAGGGGUGAAAUCCUGUAAUCCCGGGAGGACCACCUGUGGCGAAGGCGCUCGGCUGGAACGGGUCCGACGGUGAGGGACGAAGGCCUGGGGAGCGAACCGGAUUAGAUACCCGGGUAGUCCAGGCUGUAAACGAUGCGGGCUAGGUGUCACCGGAGCUACGAGCUCCGGUGGUGCCGGAGGGAAGCCGUUAAGCCCGCCGCCUGGGAAGUACGGCCGCAAGGCUGAAACUUAAAGGAAUUGACGG